UGUACUAUAGCUCAAUGGUAGUAGCAAUCCACUCAUAAUGGAUCGAUCUCAGUUCAAUUCUGAGUAGUACAA
RNAcentral lists this transfer RNA (72 nucleotides) under Zhuliangozyma blackwelliae. RNAcentral's name for it is "Candida blackwelliae tRNA-Met". It matches the Rfam family "tRNA". From Rfam's summary of the family: Transfer RNA (tRNA) molecules are approximately 80 nucleotides in length. Lineage: Eukaryota; Fungi; Ascomycota; Pichiomycetes; Serinales; Debaryomycetaceae. The record is from RNAcentral.